This 421-nucleotide ribosomal RNA is filed under the name uncultured bacterium. RNAcentral describes it as "bacterial SSU rRNA". It matches the Rfam family "Bacterial small subunit ribosomal RNA", at positions 355 to 773 of the family's 1533-position model. The record is from RNAcentral.
UGAGGAAUAUUGGGCAAUGCCCGCAAGGGUGACCCAGCAACGCCGCGUGGAGGAUGAAUGUCGUAAGAUUGUAAACUCCUGUUAGAGGGGAAGAAUAGUACCGGUUGGACCGGUAUAUGACUGUACCCUCAGAGAAAGCUCCGGCUAACUACGUGCCAGCAGCCGCGGUAAUACGUAGGGGGCAAGCGUUGUCCGGAUUUACUGGGUGUAAAGGGCGCGCAGGCGGGAUAAAAAGUCAGUGGUGAAAUCCUACAGCUUAACUGUAGAACUGCCUGUGAUACUUUUAGUCUUGAGUUCGGGAGAGAGAGACGGAAUUCCAGGUGUAGUGGUGAAAUACGUAGAUAUCUGGAAGAACACCAGUUGCGAAGGCGGUCUCUUGGUCCGACACUGACGCUGAGGCGCGAAAGCGUGGGGAGCAAAC